AAGCGUUAAUCGGAAUCACUGGGCGUAAAGCGCGCGUAGGUGGAUAUUUAAGUCGGAUGUGAAAGCCCUAGGCUUAACCUGGGAAUUACAUCCGAUACUAGGUAUCUCGAGUAUGAUAGAGGGAAGUGGAAUUUCCGGUGUAGCGGUGAAAUGCGUAGAUAUCGGAAAGAACAUCAGUGGCGAAGGCGGCUUCCUGGAGCAAUACUGACACUGAGGCGCGAAAGCGUGGGGAGCAAACAGGAUUAGAGACCCUGGUAGUCCACGCCGUCAACGAUGAGAACUAGCUGUUGGAAAGUUUACUUUCUAGUAGCAAAGCUAACGCGUUAAGUUCUCCG
RNAcentral lists this ribosomal RNA (335 nucleotides) under Coxiella-like endosymbiont. RNAcentral describes it as "bacterial SSU rRNA". It matches the Rfam family "Bacterial small subunit ribosomal RNA", at positions 536 to 871 of the family's 1533-position model. The record is from RNAcentral. Lineage: Bacteria; Pseudomonadati; Pseudomonadota; Gammaproteobacteria; Legionellales; Coxiellaceae.